GUCAUUUCCCAAAUAAUUAUAUAACUGAAACAUUUACAUUAAAUUUACCAAAUUGGCAAAUGCAGCGUUACGUUAGAUAAAGUUUUCAAAAAUACUUGAAUGUGUGUUUGAACGACUUAUCAACCAAUUCAACAGAGGAAAAGUCACAUAUAAGAACAGCUUUUACUUUUUUUCCAUUUUCGGUUUUUCCGGCCAAAUAACAGGUAUGAUAAGCGUGUCUUCUCGUUGUCACAUGGGCUGUUCCUUCACUUCUUUGGUGUAAGACGUAGUUACCGACGUUCUUUGACUUCGCAAGCUGACCGAUGUGUGUUGCGUUAAUCUCCGUGGACGGCUGUUUCUUUCUUUACCAACGAAAGCGAGCAAAGUUCGCCUGUAAUCGGGUAGACGUAGGGCAUAUAGAAUUGGGUUAGCCCCAAAAUUCAACAUGGCAAUUGGUACGUAACAAUAGGAGAGG
Non-coding RNA from Paramuricea clavata, 454 nucleotides. The record is from the annotation of a GenBank genome assembly. NCBI's taxonomy places the organism in Eukaryota, Metazoa, Cnidaria, Anthozoa, Malacalcyonacea, Plexauridae.